GACGAACGCUGGCGGCAUGCCUAAUACAUGCAAGUCGAGCGGAGAAUUUGGAGCUUGCUCCAAAUUCUUAGCGGCGGACGGGUGAGUAACACGUGGGCAACCUGCCCUGCAGAUCGGGAUAACUCCGGGAAACCGGUGCUAAUACCGAAUAGUUUGAGGCCUCUCCUGAGGCUUCACGGAAAGACGGUUUCGGCUGUCACUGCAGGAUGGGCCCGCGGCGCAUUAGCUAGUUGGUGGGGUAACGGCCCACCAAGGCGACGAUGCGUAGCCGACCUGAGAGGGUGACCGGCCACACUGGGACUGAGACACGGCCCAGACUCCUACGGGAGGCAGCAGUAGGGAAUCUUCCGCAAUGGACGCAAGUCUGACGGAGCAAUGCCGCGUGAGUGACGAAGGUUUUCGGAUCGUAAAACUCUGUUGUGAGGGAAGAACACGUACCAGCUAACUACUGGUAC
RNAcentral lists this ribosomal RNA (455 nucleotides) under uncultured bacterium. Its description in RNAcentral is "bacterial SSU rRNA". It matches the Rfam family "Bacterial small subunit ribosomal RNA", at positions 28 to 473 of the family's 1533-position model. The record is from RNAcentral.